This 1720-nucleotide long non-coding RNA is filed under the name Salvia miltiorrhiza (redroot sage). RNAcentral's name for it is "long non-coding RNA (SMIL_LNC011306)". Lineage: Eukaryota; Viridiplantae; Streptophyta; Magnoliopsida; Lamiales; Lamiaceae. The record is from RNAcentral.
CCAGCUGGGCAGUGAGACGGUCUACUGAUCCACCCCCAAUAUUUUCUUUCUAGAUCAACAGUUUUAGACUAUUGUUGAAUUUGAUUGAGUAAUCAUGUGAAGAAAGAUGGUAGAGAGCGAAGAAGAAAAGCAGUGCAAGAUUUUGAUUACUUGUGGGUUUGUGUAAAAUUAAGUUUUUUAUGCCUCUGGUUGGAAUUGGGUUUUGAAGUUUGUAGCUUUUCUUGAAAUUAUUUCUUGGGCUUUGGGUUUGAUGGGUGCAGAAGUAGAGAAGAUGAUAGUAAUAAAAAAGGAAGAGAUGGAACUGUGAGGACAGAGAAAAAGCUGCACAGUAGCAAUUUUACAUGCAUACAAAACUGUGCUUCUUGGGAUUGUUGUCUUUCAUGGGAGUUUGGUUGCCAUUUCUCAUAACUCCCAACUGAAAACACCUUCUCAUAGAAAGAAAAAAAACACACACACCACACACACUACCUCUCACCUCUUUAAAGUUCUAACCUCUCUCACUUUGACACACACUCUCACUCUCACUCUCACUCUCACACUCUCCAAGUUGGUGGGUUUCCAAGAGAGAUCUGAAAUAGACUACUACUGUUAACUGUGUGUAAAUUUGGGGUAUAGCGAUCAAAGAAUGAAGAGACUCAGCAACUCUGAUUCCUUGGGUGGUUUGAUGUCCAUCUGUCCCAACGCUACAGGUGAAAAAAAAGAGGAGAAUAAAUUUAUUCCAUUCUGCACUUUGUUAUUUAUAAACUGUGUUUUUAUGGGAUCAUAUUAUUACAAAACCUUUGGAACAAAAAGAGUCCAUGUUUUCUUGUCCCUAUGAUUUAUGAUAUGAUUCUUGCUGAAAUCGAGACUCAUUUGUUUUGUUGCCACUUUUAGUAAGAUUUAUGCUCCCCUGUUUUCAACCAAUCCCUGUCUCUGAAGCCUUAGCUUUAGGUGUUGUAGAUUUGAAUUUGAUAAUGAUGGUGUGGUGUCUCAGAGGAAGAAAGCAAUAAUCCGAUGUACGCUAGGGAGUUCCAGACGAUGCUGGAGGGUUUGGAGGAGGAGGAAUCGGGGCACGUGUCGGAGAAGAAACGGAGAUUGAGCGUGGAUCAGGUCAAGGCAUUGGAGAAGAAUUUCGAGGUCGAGAAUAAGCUUGAGCCGGAGAGGAAAGUCAAGCUGGCUCAGGAGCUCGGUCUGCAGCCGCGCCAGGUCGCCGUCUGGUUCCAGAACCGCCGCGCGCGCUGGAAGACCAAGCAGUUGGAGAGAGACUACGGCGGCCUCAAGGCCAGCUACGACGGCCUCAAGCUCAACUUCGAGAGGCUCCAACGCGACAAUGAAUCUCUACUCAAAGAGGUCACAAAAUCACUCAUUCAAAUCAAUUCCCUUAAUUGCUAAACUGAUGAUUCUGUUGAUUUAAGCAGAUUCGCGAGCUCAAAUCAAGCUCAACGGAGACGACGAGGAGAAGACGAGACUCGAAAGCGAGAUCGGCGGCGCCGAAGCGGAGAUGGAAAAUCCCGAGGGCGGGAAGAAGGAGGAGGCGAGUUGGCCGAAAUUCGGCGACGGAUCGUCGGACAGCGAUUCGAGCGCGAUCCUGAACGAGGAGAACAUAGGGUUCCAGUUAGGGGCUCCGCAGCUGGUGAAAAUCGAGGAGCACAAUUUCUUCGGGGAGGAAUCGUGCAGCACGUUGUUUUCCGACGAUCAACCGCCGUCGCUGCCCUGGUAUUGCAAUGAUCAGUGGGAUUGA